This 14165-nucleotide long non-coding RNA is filed under the name Vitis vinifera (wine grape). RNAcentral describes it as "long non-coding RNA (VVIN_LNC001631)". The record is from RNAcentral. Lineage: Eukaryota; Viridiplantae; Streptophyta; Magnoliopsida; Vitales; Vitaceae.
UCACUAGUUCUUGAACUCAAGUUCUUCUUCUCCAUCUUUUCAUAGGAUGUGCAGAUGGAAAACAAUCCGUACCUUUUAUUCAUCUAUACUUCAUUUCAAGAAAGGGCAACCUUCAUAUCCCAUGGCAAUACUGCCAGGCUCGCCAAUCAACAUGGGGACAAGAGCUUGGCUCAAAUAUGUGGCAUAAUAGCCUCAGAUGAGAAGCGCCAUGAAACUGCCUACACCAAGAUAGUGGAAAAGCUCUUUGAGAUUGAUCCCAAUGGAACUGUUUUGGCUUUUGCAGACAGGAUGAGGAAAAAAAUCACCAUGCCGGGCCUCUUGAUGUAUGAUGGCUGUGAUGACGACCUUUUUGAACACUUCUCAGCAGUUGCUCAGAGGCUUGGUGUGUAUACUGCCAAGGACUAUGUCGAUAUCUUAGAAUUCUUUGUGGAGAGAUGGAAUGUGGAAAAGCUAACUAGGCUUUCUAGUGAGGGGCGAAAAGCUCAGGAUUAUGUUUGUGGUUUAGCUAAAAGAUUGAGAAAGCUGGAGGAGAGAGCUCAAGAAAAGGCUCAGCAAGCACCCACCAUUCCUUUCAGUUGGAUCUUUGAUAGAGAAGUGAAACUCUGAGUGCAAAAUUGAAGAAAAAGACUUUGGUUCCUUUUAUUUUUAGUUAUCUUUUUUCCUCCACUUGGAAGAUAUUUGAGAUUUUUUUUUUAAAUUCUCUUUGGUCUAUAAUUGGAAAUAUUAAUUUUAUUUGCAAAAUUAAAUUUUAUAGUCUUUCAAAUUUCACUAUGUAUCACAUUUUGAAUAUAUACUAGACGUCAAAUGUGUGUGACUUACUACUUGUCGAGCUCAAAUUUUAUUGAAUUGAGAAGUCAUAAUUUUGAAGAUUAAUUUAGUGAUAAUUCAAUUCACUAAUUUUUUUUUUUGAUGUUUAUAGCAACCAAAAAAUUGUUUUUUUUUUUUUUGUGUUCUUAAAAAUAGAAAAUAGGGUGUUUUCAAAAAACACCUUUUAGUUCUUUUAAGUUGUUUUCACUUAUUUUGUAAAUUUUUUUUUAAAAAUAAUUAUACAAAUAUGAAGAAUGAUUAAAAAUAAAACCUUAUAUAUAAUUUUUUUAAAACAUAUAUAUAAUUUUUUUAAAACAUAUUUAAAAAUAUUUAAAACAUAUUAAAAACAUUUUAAAUUUCCAAGCACAUUUUGUUUUAUAAAAUAUUAAAAAAUAGUUUUCAAAAACUGUUUUUGAAAAUAAUUAUCAAAUGAACCCUUAAUUUCUUUUAAAUUGAUUUAAGAAAACAGUAUAUAUAUAUAUAUAUAUAUAUAAGUAAAACAUGAGAAAUGUUAAAUUCAUAAAUUUGAAGAUUAUUUUAUCCCCUUUAACUAAUUAAUUCUUAGAAAGAAAAAACUCAUUUAAACUUGCUUAGACUGACUUUUGAAAAACCAUUUUUUUUUUAUAAAAAAAUUCAAUAAAAGCUUGUAAAUUUGUUUGGCAAAUUUGGUCUAAAAAUUUUAUGAUUUUAAAAAAAGUUUAAUAUAAAAAGGUAAAAAAUAUUGCUUUUUAUAGAAGUUAUGUUUUAUCUAAUACAAAAAAAAAAAAAGUUUAAUAAAGCUUUUACAAUAUCAACAUCGUCAUUUUAAAAAACUUUGAUGAUGUUCUUUUAUAAACUAUUACAUAAAAUAAAAAUAUUUCUAAAAUAACAUUUUGAGUGAUUUUUUUUAUAUUUUUAAAAGUUUUUCAAACAUCUAAUUUUGUGAAGUGUUUUCAAAUAUUCAAAAGCACUUUUAACUUUAUUAAAACCACUCUAAAAUGAACUCUUGGAAUUAAAAUUGAUUUUGAGAGGAUUAGAAGUGUUUCAAUGAUGAUGGUAGCAAUGUUGUAUAUUCUAUAAAGUUUAUUUGAUGGUGAUUUUAGAGUGUUAGAAGCAUUUUUUAUUAUUUGAAAAUACUUACUUAUAGAAACUAGAUGUUUGACAAACUUAAAAAUGUUUAAAAAAAAUUAUUUUCUUAUGUUUAAUUUAUUAUGAAAAAUAUGAAAAAAAAAUCAAUUAAAAACUUAUGCCUUUCAAAUUGUUUUCUAGAGUAUUUAAGGAAUAAUUGAGAAUAAUGGAAAAUACUUUGAAAAGAAGAAAAAUAUUUUUAAGCAGUAGCAGUAGCAGAUUAGCAAUUAAAAAGAAGGAUUUUCCAGGACUGAGCUGAAUUCAGAGAAGAAAGUAUGCAUAGAAUUUGAUUAAAACGUCUAUGAACAAGCAAGAUGAGAGGUACAUCAUUACAGUACUAUCUCUGCUGUCUGUCAGCUAUCGACUCGGCUUUGUACAGUGGUGAUCCCUCCAUCUUGAGAUGAAAUCACCAACACUUCCAUUAGGCCUUCACAAGGGAGUUUGCACAUCCUAGUUGCUACUUAGUAUACUGAGUGAAUGACAGAUCCCUUGGGGGACCGAAUAAACUCCUUAGUAAUAAAGUCUAAGGCAUCUUAAUGAACUGAUGAAUGCUCCAAGGGAAAGACGUGUAUCCCAGUGAGCUUUGGCUUUAUCUAGACACUACUUGUUCUUAUGAGGGUUUUCUCCUCCACGUUGCUUUUCCAUAUGUCUAAAUCCACCCAAGGGGUCUUCUUCACUAGUUAAUGAGUUUACUUCAGUCUCAUUGAAUCCCAAGAACAUCCAUUUCUAUAUAUAAGGACUAUCUAUAUAUAUUUAGCAUCCAAGUCUCUCUUCCAGAGUACAAGUGAAGUCAGAAAAUGGUUCUCAAUUUGAAUCCCUUGCUUUCUCUUACUUUCCUGCAAAUGGGUUUUCAUUCAUCUCUCAAAUUCUCCAUGGUCCCCAUGCACCGCUCUGUGUCCAGGUGAGUGUGUUCUUCACUUACAGAAGUUUACGGAAUGUUCAUACCAUUUAGAAGAAAAUGACAAGUGCCUAUGUUCAUUGUUUCAUCCUAACCAGUGUCUAACCAGACGGAUCCAAAUUGUAAGUACCUAAUCUGAAUUUCUUCUGUUUAAUGUAGGGAGGUUAAGAAUACAAAGAAGACUUCUGGCUCUCCUCACAAGGUGCAAGUAACCCACUCAAUGCCACCGGCCCACCACACAAGAUUGAGAUUUUCAAAUCCAUGGAGAAUUGGGUUGAGGAGAACGUUUUAAUUCACCUGAAGCCAGUUGAGAAAUGUUGGCAACCUCAGGAUUUUCUGCCCGAUCCUGCUUCUGAUGGAUUUCAUGAGAGAGUUGAGGAGGUAAAGGAGAGGGCAAAGGGGAUCCCGGAUGGCUACUUUGUCAUUUUGGUUGGAGAUAUGAUCACUGAAGAAGCCCUUCCAACUUACCAAACACAGAUCAAUAUCACUGAUGGAAUUCGGGAUAAAACAGGGGCAAGCCCCAGCUCUUGGGCAACUUGGACAAGGGCAUGGACCGCUGAAGAGAACAGGCACGGUGACCUUCUUAGUAUCUCUAUCUGUCUGGAAGAGUAGACAUGAAACACAUCGAGAAGACGAUCCAGUAUUUGAUUGGGGCUGGAAUGGUGAGAUUCUUGCUGCAUACUUUUUUACUGUUUUAUCUCCAAAACCACAAUGUAGUGACUGCUUUUGGUAUCUCUAUCAGUCACAAUCUUCACUAGUUCUUGAACUCAAGUUCUUUUUCUCCAUCUUUUCAUAGGAUGGGCAGAUCGAAAACAAUCUGUACCUUUUAUUCAUCUAUACUUCAUUUCAAGAAAGGGCAACCUUCAUAUCCCAUGGCAACACUGCCAGGCUCACUAAGCAACAUGGGGACAAGAACUUGGCUCUAGUAUGUGGCAUAAUAGCCUCAGAUGAGAAGCACCAUGAAACUGCCUACACCAAGAUAGUGGAAAAUCUCUUUGAGAUUGAUCCCAAUGGAACUGUUUUGGCUUUUGCAGACAGCAUGAGGAAGAAAAUCACCAUGCCGGGCCUCUUGAUGUAUGAUGGCUGUGAUGACGACCUUUUUGAACACUUCUUAGCAGUUGCUCAGUGGCUUGGUGUGUAUGCUGCUAAGGACUAUGUUGAUAUCUUAGAAUUCUUUGUGGAGAGGUGGAGUGUGGAAAAGCUAACUGGGCUUUCUAGUGAGGGGCAAAAGCUCGGGAUUAUGUUUGUGGGUUAGCUUAAAGAUUGAGAAAGCUGGAGGAGAGAGCUCAAGAAAAGGCUAAGCAAGCACCCACCAUUCCUUUCAGUUGGAUUUUUGAUAGAGAAGUGAAGCUCUAAGGGCAAAAUGGAGUCACUAUAUGUAGUUUCUAGGUCGUGUUCUCAAAGAUUUAUCCAGUAAUAUACAAGUGUAAGGCAUCUAUGUUUCUCUAUCUCAAUUUCAAUAAUCACGAUCUCAUCUCAUUUCACUUCUUAGAAUGCUACAAACUCGAGCAGUGCCAUUUUUUUUUCUUUCACUAUAGGACAUUGGUAAAAGCAUCCUUAGCAAAAAGGAAAUGAUAGGACACUAUACAUCUAACAACCCUUUUUAAACUGGUUUUGCUGGUUUUAUUUUGGGUAUUUUUGAAUAAGCCCAAGUUUGGCAAUUGUUGCUUGAUUUUGUUCUGUGAUUUUUGCUUUCCUUUUAUUUUUUGCUGAGUCAAUGACUCUUAGGUAUAAAGGGACUGAUUCUUUUGCAAGGGAUUAUGAGAAGAUCAUCCAAUAAAAAGUUCUAUUUUUUUAGUCAAUAUGUCUUCUUCUUCCUAGCUGUUUCAUUGGUUUCAAAACGACAACCAGGCACCAAGUAAUGGUGGAUGGUAUCAAAGCUCUGACGAUUGUUGAUCUGAGGUCUCCUUCAAUCACUUUACAGAAUCCUCUAGUUCCAUCUGCCAUUACUUGAUACCAGGUUGUAGCUCUGAUACCAAUGAAACAGCCAGGAAAAAGAAGACACAAAAUUGACUAGAAAAAUGGAACUUUUUAUUGGAUAAUCUUCUCAUAAUCCCUACCAAAAGAACCAGCCCCUUUAUACAUAAGAGUCAUUGCAAAAAUCUGGGAAUAAAAUCAAGCAACAAUUACCAAACUUGGCCUAUCUAAAAAUACCCAAAAUAAAACCAGUAACCCCAAUUUAAAAUGGGUCUUUACAGUACAUAUUCCAAUCUAGGAAGCGGCUUAGAGAGCUCAGCACGUGGGUGGUAGUGGAGAAGGAAAUUAUGGCUCCUUAAUAAAUGCAAAUGUAGCCCCAGGGAAUGAGCCAAAAUUUUUCUCUAAAAGUUUUCUGUUCAUAAUUUAGAGCCGCUCUGCUCCGACCCAAAGAAGGGUCGAUUCGGUAAUAGGAAAAGCAAAGACGAUAGCGAGUGACCUACAGCAUUCGUAGAUAGGACUUCGCCAAAAUUUUCCUCUGAAAGUUUUCUGAUCAUAAUUUACUUCUCAGUGCCUGAACCCUUCUGCAGUAUCUUUUCUAAUUAAUGAAUUUCUUGAAAUGGGGCAGUUUCAUCGAAUGUCAUCAAUUUCUAUAUCCAUGUAUAUGUAGCAUCUAAGUAGCAAACUGAACCUAAGAAAAAGCAGAGGAAGUGAAAGUCCAGAAAUGAAUUUCAACCUAAACCCCCUUACCUUUCAACCCGGGAAGUUUCCUUCUCUUUCUCUCCGUCCCAGAUCUUCCAAUGUCUCCAUCGCUUCCACCAUCACCUCUGGUUCCGAGUGAGUGUCUUUCGUCGAAAUGUUCCUUUAAAAAUUCAUUUGAUUCUCAAAAUAUUCUAUGAGUGGAUAGAUCUUACCGAUGUUCAUUGAAAACAGGAGGAAGCAAAGGCCAAAAGUAUGCAUCAUUUUUAAGGCACAACCAACAUGAAUAGCAGCCAAACAGCCCAAUUGACCACAUGAAUCUUUUUUUUUUUUUUUUUUCUUUUUCUUUUUCCGGUUUCCUAUACUUUCUCGGCAACCAAACGGGUUGGGAGAAUAGGGGAAAGUGAAGGCAGCAACUUGUUCGCUGAUUUGUACAAGGCCAACCUUCAAUGCAAGUAAUUGCGUCAUUCGAUGAUAAUCAACGCUCUCGCUCUGAUAAUUGGCUACGGCAACCCUAUGAUUGGUUUCCAAGAAAAUGAUAGAAAAACAAACACACAGAAUCUGAGACUAAUGCUUGGGAGACGAUCCAAAAAAGUCAAAACAAUCAUACUGCACUUUAGAUGGUGGUCUGUGAAUUGGGCCGUAGGUAUGACAGUGGGCUAGGCCCAACUAUAACGGAAAACUUUUUUUUUCUUUUAAAAAUUCAAAUAUAAAAAAUGAUUUUCUUUGCUUAUUCUACAGAAGGGAGUAAACAAAAAUUCCCGACCUAGUAUCCAUAAAUAUAUAUUACAAGUAAGGGUCUCCAACGGGCGGGCCGGGCCGCAGGCUUUUUUAAAUAAGCCAAAAUGACUUUUAAAUAAAGGAAGGGAGAGGGGGGGAUUCGAACCCCUCCCCUUAAGCUUAAAUUUUAAGGCUUCAACCAACUGAGCAACAUUCUUUUUGUACUUAUUAAAUGAGUUAGUUAUAUAUAUAUAAAAAUAAAGUAUAUUAUUUUUUUAAAAAAAAUUAAAGGCUCCAUGUGAGUCAUGUGACCGUUGGGGCUAAGCCUCCAACGGUCACAUGACCAAUUUUUUUUUUUUUUAACCUUCCUAUAAAUACAUUUUCUUCCUUUUCAUUUUUUCAUCAAAUUCUCUCUAUUUCUCUCUCUAUUUCUCUCUCUAUUUCUCUCACAUUCUACAAUAUUUCAAAUUCUUUUAUUUUUCCCUCAAAUUAUACAAUAUUGUUGGUGGUGCAAAACAAGUAUUGGUGGCUCUAAGAGUUCAAAUUUGCUAGGAAUUUCUGCAUCGGUUCUCUAAUUGAGUAACAUACUUCACCCCUACUACUUUAUUUUUUUGUUACAUUUUUUUUAUAUUUAUUACUUUAUUAUUUUUGGCAUAAUAUUUUAUCAAUAAUUAUAAUAUGACAAGUGCUUCUUCAUCUAGUCCAUGUGAUGAAAUAUCAUCAAACAAAAAAUUUACUUCAAAUAUAGAAAUAAUUUUAAAAAAUAAUAAAAAAGAAAUAAAAGCAAAAUGUAAAAUUUGUAAUAAAUUUCUUACUGGUGGCUCAAAUACAGGCACAAGUCAUUUAAAAAGACAUCACGAAAAUUGUAAAACUAAAAAUAAUGUAGAUAUUAGAAAUUAUAUGCAAUUAGGUAAAAAUGAAAGUAGAAAUUUAAAAACAUUUUCUUAUGAUGAAUCUAACUGUCGUGAAGAAAUGAUUGAUUAUAUAAUAAGAGCAGAACAACCUUUCAACAUGAUGGAAACUCAUGAUUUUGUAGGAACAAUUCAACGAGGUAUUAAUCCUCAAUUUAAAGGUUGGUCUGGAAAUACAGUUAAAAGAGAUAUUAUGAAAAAAAUUUAUACACAAAAAGAAAUUUAAAAUUUUUUUUUUGCAAAUUUUGAAGGAAAUAUUUGUUUAACAUCUAAUAUUUGGACAUCUUUAAUUCACACUGGUUUUUUAUGUAUAACUGCUCACUACAUUGAUAAUGAAUGGAAAUUAAAUAAAAGAAUAAUUUCAUUUAAAUUAAUAAAUGCUCCACAUAGUGGCAAAAAUAUAACAGCUUUAAUAAAUGAUGAAAUUAUAGAUUUAGACAUUCGUGAUAAAAUAUUGACAAUAACAUUAGAUAAUGCUGCUAAUAAUGAUAUAGCAAUACAUAGACUAAAACGAUAUUGGCAAGUAAAAGAAGAUCAUGCUAAAAUAUUUCAUGUGCGUUGUUGUGCACAUAUUUUAAAUUUAAUUGUAAAUGAUGGAUUAAAAAAUGUUGAUAGUACAUUGGAAAAAAUUAGAGGCAUUGCAUAUAGUAUUAAUAGUUCUCAAGCAAAACAUGAAUUAUUUUUUGAUUGUUGCAAAAUGUUAAAUAUGAAAAGAAAAAAUAUAAAUUUGGAUAUGGCCAUUAGAUGGAAUUCCACAUAUAAACUUUUACAAAAUAUUACAAAAUAUAGAAAAGUAGUCGAAUUAUAUGAAAUACAAUUAAUUAACAAUGAUUGUGAAACAGAUAUUUAUGCAUUAAAUGAUUAUGAUUGGCAUAUUGCGGAUCUUUUAAGAGAUCUUUUUGAAAUUUUUGAUACUUCAACAAACAUUUUUUGUGGUGUAUAUUAUCCAACUUCAAAUCGAGUUAUUACGCAAAUAACUAAUAUUUUUAUUGUACUUCAAAAAUAUUUAAGUUUUGAAAUAUUUAAUGAUACAAUAUUUGCAAUGAUAGAAAAAUUUAGAAAAUAUUGGGGAGAAAUACCUUUAAUUUUUUAUAUUGCUUUAAUUGUGGACCCUAGAUUGAAAUUUGAAGCUUUGGAUGAAUGGUUAACAAUUAUUUAUUUUAAUGACCAAAUAAAAAUUGAAGAAAUUAAAAAUGAAAUAAAUUCAUUAUUAUAUAAUUUAUAUAACUAUUAUAAAGAAAAAUAUGGUAAUGAUAUUAAUACUAUUAAAUUACCACCUACAAACUCCUCAUCUUUUUAUAAAGGAGCUCUAGAAAUGUUGAAAAGUCGAAAAAAGACAACAAAUAGUUCUCCAAAUAAUACAUCUGAUUUAGAUAAAUAUCUUAAUACUGAUAUAAUUUCAUUUGAAGAUCAAGAAGAUUUUGAUAUUUUAAUAUGGUGGAAAUCACAUCAACACAAAUAUCCUGUGCUUUCUAUAAUUGCUCGUGAUGUACUAACAGUUCCUGUGAGUACAGUUGCAUCAGAAGCUGCUUUUAGUGCAGGUGGAAGAGUAGUUAGUAAAAAACGAUGUAACUUAGCGCCAGAUGUUAUUGAAGCAGGGAUAUGUGUGAAAGAUUGGGAAAUAGCAGAUAAAAGGAUGUACGAUUCCAUUUGAGAAACAGAGAUGCUUGCCGAUAUGGAAUCUUUAAAAUUAUCAAGAUCUUCAUGGAUGCAUGAUAGUUCGCCAUCACCGCCAGAAAAUAAUGACUAAAUGUAUAUUAUAUUUUUAUUUUUAUUUUUUGUGGUUGAAAAAUACAGAUGAUUGACAAAUAAAUAGGUGCCAACCUAGUUGGGAUGUAUUUAUUUUGUAGUGAUGUAAACUUUUCCCACAUUUUUAAAUGUAAUUAUACAUUCAAUGAAUAAAAUUUUGAAAUGAAUAUUUUUUUACUUUUUAUUUUUGUAGUUUUUUUUUAAAGGGGCGGGCCUAAGGGCGGGCCUACGGGCCGGCCCGGCCCGCCCAUAAACGGGCUUGGGCCGGGCUUUAGCCCGUCGGGCCGAGCCGGGCCUAAAGUGGGCCGCGGGCUUUUUGGAGACCAUUAAUUACAAGCAUAUUUUAAAAAUCAUUUCUUAGAAAAAUAAAGUGUCGUUUCCAAAAACAUCCUUCAACAAUGGUUUUGAAAACAUAAUUUUUUAGAAUAAUAUUUUAAAAUUGUUUUACAAUGAUUUGUAAAACAAAAGUUUGAGAGUUUGAAAUGUUUUUGACAUAUUUUUAAUAUUUUUAAAUAUGUUUUAAAAAUAAUUUUUAUAUUUAGUACUUUAUUUAAAAAGACCGAAAUAAGAAUUAAAAAAAUGCUAUUUAAAAACAUCAUAUUUUUUAUUUUUAAGAAUAAAAAAUAGAAAAUAAAUUUUUGAUUCUCAAAGUUUUUUUUUUUUUGAGAACAUAAAACUGUUAUAAAAAAAUAAUUGUCAAAUAAGGUCUUAUUUUUUUACACUCAAGCCUCCCACCCACCUACAAUUCCAAAAAAACAUCAUUUUUUUUUUGUUUUAUUUUGACAAAAAUGUCCUCCUUAAUUUCUUGUAAAAAUAAUUAUUUCUUUUAAAACCUACAUGAAAUAUUUAAAAUAAUAAAAUACAUUUAUGUCAAUAAUGAGUUAUUUUUCAAAUAAAAAUAUAAGAAUAAUUAGAUUCAUAAAUUUGGGAUUAUUUCAUAUUUUUUAACUAAUUAAUUCUUAAAAAUAAAAAAAUCACUUAACCUUAUUUAAAUGGACUUUUGAAAAGCCAAUUAUUUUUCAAUUCAAUAAAAGCUUUUUUUUUUCUUUUUUUUUUUUUUUUAAAAAGCUUAAUAUAAAAGGUAGAAAAAUAUUGCUUUUUAUAGAAGCUAUGUUUUAACUUUUAUUUUAUCUAAUACAAAAAAAUUAUUUAUGUUUAAUAAAGCUUUUAAAAUAUCAAUAUUGUCAUUUAAAAAUGAUUACAUAAAAAGAAAAAUUGAAAUAAUAUUUUGAGUGAUUUUUUAUAUUUUUUAAAAAUUUUCAAACAUCUAUUUUUGUAAAAACAUGUUUUCAAAUAUUCAAAAACACUUUUAACUUUAUUAAAAUCACUCUAAAAUGACCUAUUGGACUUAAAAUUGACUUUAAGGAAUUAGAAAUGUUUUGAUGACGGUGAUAGCAAUGUUAUAAGUUAUAUUGGGUUUGUUUGAAUCGUUUGAUAGUGAUUUUAGAGUGUUAGAAACGUUUUUUAAUAUUUGAAAAUACUUUCUUAUAGAAAUUAGAUGUUUGACAAACUCAAAAAAUGUUUAAAAAAAUUAUUUUUUCAUGUUUGAUUUAUUAUGAAAAAUAUGAAAAAAAAAUCAAUUAAAACUUAUGUCUUCUCAGAUUAUUUAAUUAUUCUAAAAAAAUAUAAAAAAUAAGUAAAUUAUUUUGAAAAUUUCUUUUUUUUAAAUCAAUAACAAUUUUUUCUUACUCUUUUAUCCUUCUUCCAUUUUAGCUCAUUAUCAUGUCAUUUAAGCUUAAAAAUAUGUGUUCAAUUUAAACUUAAUAAUAAUUUGAAAUGGGUUUAAGUGAGUCCUGAAAAAAAAACCAAUAAAUAAAGUCAAUAAGUUUAAUCUCUGAUUAAAUUAUAAUUAAUGUAUUAAUUAAAAAACUAAUUUAUGAGAUUAUGAGAAAUAAAUGAGGGGAGAAGAUACAAGAACAAACUCGGUGAAUAAUAGUUAGGAUUUAGAAAAAAAAUAUUUAUUUUAACUUAUUAUUUAAAGUUAUAUUUAGCUUUAAAUUGCAAUAUUAUGCCAUUUUAUCAAAUAUUUUUAAUGAUUGAAAUUAACUUAUUAAUUGUUUUUGAACACAUUUUCAAUUUUUAUUUUUAAAAUAAGAGCUCUUACAUGAAAAGUAAAAUCUUAUGUUUUUAAAAAAUCAGUUUUAAAAUUUUUAAAUUUUUUAAAAACUAUCUUAUUUUUAAAAUAAGUCUCUAAAAACUCUUAAAGUGCGUUUAAGAGUGAUUGUAAAAAGCGUUUCUAGUAUAACAUUUAUGAUAAAAAUUUUCAAGUAUUAGAAAUAUUAAAAACGCUUCUUAAAAUCAUUACCAAAUAAGUUCUUAAAUUGUAUGUCAAAAUUGAUAUUAUUUUUGUUUCUAAAAAUAAAAUUGAAGAAGUCCAUCUAAAUAAUAUUUAAGUCAUAUCCAACUCAUAUUAAGUCAUAUCCAACUUAGUUGGUAUCGACUUAAUUAUUGAAGCCAUAUGUUAAUAUUCUUUUAAUGCAUCAACCUCCACUCAAUUAAUACAACCUCAUACGAGGCUUUCCAAGCCAAAGUCUAUUGUUGAGUCUUGAAUGUUAAUAAAUGGAACUAAUCCCAACAAUAAAGUCUUAUGCCACAUGCCAAUUUCAAUAAUUCGUGAAAAAUGACCAACUUUAUGUCAACAAAUCUUAUUUAUACAGGCUUCAACUCCUUCAAUAAUUACUCUCAUAAAUUAUAAAAAUUACCUUAUACUUUCAGAUCUGCCUUAAUUCAUCUCUAAGGGAUUUUUUUUUUUAUAAAAAAAAUAAAAAUAAAAAGCAAUAUCAACCCUACACUAGUUUCAAAGAUGAAUAAGUUCUUAUGAUUGGAACAUAGACAAAUUAAAAAUAAAUAAACAUAUCAUAUAAUGUUCGAAAAAAUAAACAAACAUCUAUUAUCGUAACAUAGACACACGUUAUCUAUCUUUAGUGUUGAGCAUGGUGAUGGUGGUAAAGUUGCAAAGCCUUUUUACUCUAGAGGAGUAAAAAAGGGCCUUGAUGGCGACGAAGACAAAACGUGGGGUGGAUGGUAGUUGAAUAUUGGUGAUGGUGGAAUUUAUUAGAGUACUAUUUGGAAUCUAUUUGGUAGUAAUUUUAAAAGGAAUUAAAAGCACGGUGAAUUGUUUUGUAGUAGUAAUUUUAAUGUUUGAAAAUGAUUUUUUUUUUCUUCUUGAAUUUAGAAACAUAUUUAGCAAUGAUUCUUGAAAACGGUUUUUGAUUCUUUAGAAUAGAACAAUGUUUUCUAACUAUAUGUUUCAGAGAAAAUAAUUUUGUUAAAAAUGCAUAGCAUUAGUAGAUUAGCAAUUAAAAAGAAGGAUUUUCCAAGAUAGGGCUGAAUUCAGAGAAAGAAAAUAUGCAUAGAAUUUGAUUAAAAUGUCUAUAAACAAGCAAGUUGAGUUUUAGGGCAAAAUAAUCCUUUUAUAAAAUAAAAAUGUAAGGUAUAGCCCCUUCGUAAAACUUAUGUUCAAACUGUCCGAUUCAUUGCCGUAUAAAAGUCAUGCCAUAAAAUAUAUUUUUCUUUUCAAAAUUUAAGUUGAAACCUCAAUUAUCAAUUGGAACUUCAUUUUUUUUUAACUAAAACCAUAAUUUGUAAGUGAGACCAUUGAGGCUUCAGUUGAAUUUUUUUUUUAAAGUUUAAAAUUUAAUUAAAAUAUUAAACUAUAAAUUAUUGUUGAAAUUAAAAAUAUAUACUUUAAUAAUAAAAAUUAUAUAUUUAAACUUAAAAGAUCUAAUAUAACUUCAAUAAAAAUAAAUUGAUAAAUAUAAUAAUACAUAAAUAUUUUAUUUAUCAAUAAAUUAAUAAACUUAAAAUAAUAAAGUUAUAUGACAUAUAAAUAAGAUAUAAAAUUAUAUAAUUAUUAAUUUAAGAUAUUUAAUUUGUUGUAUUUUUAAGAUAUUAAUUCAUUUGUAUUUUGACAAAUUUAUCUUUAUUAAAAUAAUAGUAUACUAUUAAGUUUUCAUAUAUAGAUUUUUUAUUAUUUUAAAACAUAUGUUUAGACUAUUAUUUGUAGACACACGAUAGAUUUCAAAAUUAGUUAAUGAAAUUAAUUAGAAAAAGUAUACUAGAAAAUGUAAUUUUUAGUAGUUUCAUCAAAGUCACAAAAAAUACCCACUAAAUAUUUAUAUAGUGGGAAAAAAAACCCCAUUCCCUAACUAUAGCAGUUGCUACAUGUGAUAUAACUUAAAUUAAUAAAUUAUAUUUAGCAUUUCUAUAUAUAUAUAUAUUUAGCAUCCAAGUCUCUCGUCCAGAUUACACGGAAGUGAAGUCAGAAAAUGGCACUCAAUUUCACUCCCUUGCUUUCUUUUACUUUCCUGCAAAUGGGUUAUCAUACAUCUCCCAAAUUCUCCAUGGCCUCCAUGCACCGCUCUGUGUCCAGGUGAGUGUGUUCUUCACUUCUUACAAAAGUUUACGGAAUGUUCAUACCAUCUAGUAGAAAAUGGCUAGUGCCUAUGUUCAUAGUUUCAUCCUAACCAGUAGUGUCUAACCCUUGUGAAAAGACGGAUCCGAAUUGUAAGUACCUAAUCCAAAUUUCUUCUGUUUAAUGUAGGGAGAUUAAGAAUACAAAGAAGAUUUCUAGCUCUCCUCGCAAGGUGCAAGUAACCCACUCAAUGCCACCACACAAGAUUGAGAUUUUCAAAUCCAUGGAGAAUUGGGUCGAGGAGAACGUUUUAAUUCACCUGAAGCCAGUUGAGAAAUGUUGGCAACCUCAGGAUUUUCUGCCUGAUCCUGCAUCUGAUGGAUUUCAUGAGCGAGUCAAGGAGCUACAGGACAGAGCUAAGGGGACCCCAGAUGACUACUUUGUGGUUUUGGUUGGACAUAUGAUCACUGAAGAAGCCCUUCCAACUUACCAAACACAAAUCAAUAUCACUGAUGGAAUUCGCGAUGAAACAGGGGCAAGUCCCAGCUCAUGGGCAACUUGGACAAGGGCAUGGACCGCUGAAGAGAACAGGCACGGUGACCUUCUUAAUAAGUAUCUCUAUCUGUCUGGAAGAGUAGACAUGAAACAAAUCGAGAAGACGAUUCAGUAUUUGAUUGGGGCUGGAAUGGUGAGAUUCUUGCUACAUGCUUUUUUUUUUUUUUUUUUUUUCUGUAGUCAAUCACAAUCUUCACUAGUUCUUGAACUCAAGUUCUUCUUCUCCAUCUUUUCAUAGGAUGCUCAGAAUGAUAACAGUCCCUACCUUGGCUGCAUCUAUACUUCAUUUCAAGAAAGGGCAACCUUCAUAUCCCAUGGCAGUACUGCCAGGCUCGCCAAUCAACAUGGGGACAAGAGCUUGGCUCAAAUAUGUGGCAUAAUAGCCUCAGAUGAGAAGCGCCAUGAAACUGCCUACACCAAGAUAGUGGAAAAGCUCUUUGAGAUUGAUCCC